UGAGUGUGAUGCUUCCAGUCUUAGAAAUGCC
This 31-nucleotide non-coding RNA is filed under the name Homo sapiens (human). The record is from RNAcentral. Lineage: Eukaryota; Metazoa; Chordata; Mammalia; Primates; Hominidae.